Molecule: long non-coding RNA, 876 nt
Organism: Patella vulgata (common limpet)
Lineage: Eukaryota; Metazoa; Mollusca; Gastropoda; Patellidae
Exons: 3
Source: RefSeq, a predicted model, not a curated record
CCGUAAAUAUGAUUUUUUUUUAACGUUUAUGAAACGUUUAUAAAGAACCCGCAAUGAAUAGGUAAAAAAAAAAUUUUAAAAACAUUUAUUAAACGUUUAAUACACCUUUAAAACUUAAUUACGUUCAUAACUUAAUUGCAAAAUAUCUAUAUUUAAUGUACCGGUAUAUAAAAAAACCCAAUAAAGGUCAAGAUUAAUUAUCUUAUACAUAUUUUAUUUUAAAACACACCCAAGGUUGACAGUUGGUCCAAUCAAAUUUAAACAUCUUUCCGCCAAAAAGGAAUCCUAGCCAAACCGGCAUGGCUGCUUUAUUAGAGCUGUGAUAAACUAUCGAGUUUUAUAAGUUGCUAGAAGGCGUAAAAGUUGAAAAUUAGGUUGAUGUCUAAUUCCCUAAUGGCCCAAUUUAAUUUAAAGGGAAAUAAAGGGAGGCGGUCCAUAAUGGACUUAGAAAUUUACAAAGUUGUCCAAGAUAGUGUAAUGAUCAGUCAGCCGAGCUGCAAUGAAGCCGAGAUAAUAACAGCAGUUUCGGCUCAUCUAAAAUAUGCACCCGACAGAAGAGGGACCAAUUAAGUACAUGUACAGUUUUAAUUUGUUUAUUACAUGUCAUAUUUUAUUAUAAUCUUUAUAAGCCAUUUUAAGUUCUUUUAUCAUCCAUUUAAUUUUAUUUUAUUUUCUAUGUGUGAUGUCCACAAAAUGUUAACUGCGCCAUUGAGCAGUGUUUUAUAUUGGUAACAGGCGCUUUAUAAAUAAAUAAAUUUUUAUUAUUAUUACGGUACCAAUUGCAUUAAAAUUACUUUCUCAUUUUUAGCAAUAUCAUUCAUUACCAUUACCCAUUACAUUGAAAGUAAAUAAUUACAUUUUAUUACUAUUUAAAGA